This 397-nucleotide ribosomal RNA is filed under the name uncultured bacterium. RNAcentral's name for it is "partial 16S ribosomal RNA". It matches the Rfam family "Bacterial small subunit ribosomal RNA", at positions 360 to 774 of the family's 1533-position model. The record is from RNAcentral.
AAUCUGGGGCAAUGGGCGAAAGCCUGACGCAGCCAGGCCGCGUGAAUGAUGAAGGACUUAGAAAUGUAAAAUUCGUUCACCGGGGACGUUAAUGACGGUCCCCGGAGAAGCAGACCCGCCUACCUUCGUGCCAGCAGCCGCGGUAAUACGAAGGGGGCUAGCGUUGCUCGGAAUUACUGGGCGUAACGGGCGCGUAGGCGGAUCGUUAAGUCAGGGGUGAAAUCCCGGGGCUCAACCUCGGAACUGCCCUUGAUACUGGCGAUCUUGAGUAUGAGAGAGGUAUGUGGAACUCCGAGUGUAGAGGUGAAAUUCGUAGAUAUUCGGAAGAACACCAGUGGCGAAGGCGACAUACUGGCUCAUUACUGACGCUGAGGCGCGAAAGCGUGGGGAGCAAACA